UUAUUUUAGCUUUAAGAAUAA
This 21-nucleotide non-coding RNA is filed under the name Caenorhabditis elegans. The record is from RNAcentral. Lineage: Eukaryota; Metazoa; Nematoda; Chromadorea; Rhabditida; Rhabditidae.